GAGAGGGGGGAGAAGAAGGGAAAAUAAAUACACUGAAUACAGGAUGUGAGAUGCACAGUGCUGUGUAAGUUCUUUUCCUUUGCAAAUCAAAGAAGUGCUUCUGAAGAGCCCUAACCCAGGCCUGGUGCAGGCGGUGUAGGGCACACGGUUAAUCCGGCAGCAGAUCCAAUGCACCAGAAAAGCUCUCGUGGCCUCUCAGACAAGCAAAACAGAGAGACUGAAUGCUCAGCACGAGUGCUGCUUCCAAUUGUUGCUGCGUUUAGCACUGUGCUCUCACCUGAGGCGUGCUUCAGCAAUCCCACCCAUGGUGCCUCUCAGCUCCUCCUGCAAAACCAGGCAGGCCGUGCUGGAAGCAAAUGCAUUUUCUUUCCAUCCUGGGGUAACACACUUAUGUAAGAGCCAGGAACAUCCACGGAAAGAAAGAAGUCAACAUAAACCUAACAAUUCCUUCGGCUUAUGGUUAUAAUGCACGAGUAUGCAGUCUGCUAAACCCAUAGGCAGGAGUAAUGCUUCUAUGGAAAACCCCCUAUGCUUACAGCAGCUCUUCCAGACCCAAGGGCUGUGAAGCUCAGCCGUGUGAUCCUCAUUGUCACUUACUCAUUGUCACUGCUCUGCUCUGCUCUCAGACAUGUGGCAAGGUGCAGCUGCGUGUCACAGAGCCACAUUGCCUUCAGGGCUGGCUGUGGUCUGCAGCAACCUGCUGCUGCUAGCCUGUGCCCAUGGGAUGUCCCAUCUAACCUGGGGGAGGGAUGGCUUUCCAUGCAAGCUGCCGGCGCUGCCUCCAGAAAGCUGCCUCAGCUCAUAUAUCAAAAAGCAGAUAUAAUUAUUUCCUCACUGAGGAAAGCUUCCAUUUAGCUUAUUUCCUCUCCUUUCCUUCUCAAAAUUAUUAAUUAUCUAAUUACAACCACAUUCCGCAGCCAAGCUCAGGAUUUGACAGGCUUCCCAGGACCACUUAGGAAAGCUGAACUGCUCGGGGUGUGUGAGCAGCAGUGGUUUGCAUGCGUGCAUGUCCUGUGGAUGGCAGACCAGCCCCUUCCUAAUGCUCACACUGCUGCAGCUCCAGAGAGAGGGCAUGUAGGGGCUCAGAAAGAGAUAAAAAAUAAAGGGAGGGGGAGGACACCUUGUCUCCUUUGGCUCUGAUUCACAGAAUGGACACGGUCACAUAUUCCUGGACAACCGAUGCCAAAAGAACUCGCAGCCCACAUAUCUCUUGGGAGCGACCCUCCCAUGCUCUUGUUUUGGGUUAUUUUUUCUACAAUGUAAAGUUAGCAGAUCAGACCAAGCAGCAGGCAAUCUCUUAUCUUCUGUACAGCAUGACCUCCAACACUUGAGGUUUGUAGGAAUGGGUCAAACAAGCUGUAGUGGCAAUGCUACGCGGCCUGAAGCAGUAAUUGAGCACCUGGGAAGGCAGAGCCAACCCAGGGGAGCUCAGCUGCAUGCAGUGCACUUGAGUGACCAGAAGGCAUGGAGCCAGGAUCCAGCCCUUCCCAGCCCUCAUUUAAGGUUUGGCAGUAGAGGUGAAGGUAUCUGUUGUUGGACAUCCCUGUGUACCUGAGGCCUUCUAAAGGAUGGCUCUUUUGUACCUGUGGUUACCUACCUCAAUAGGCAUUAUCUACACCUGGGUUUGUGGUCCCUGUAGAGCUGCCAACACCCCUGGAUAAAACCCAUUGCCUGGGGCUGGCCUUCAACAGGGAGGACAAGUGAGGGCUCUGCAAUGAAGUGUUUUGCUGCUGGGACUCUCAGGGUUUCUGCGUUAUGUCCUGCCUCUCUGCAGCAACCUCCUGGCAGUCAGUGUGUUUGCUCCAAGGUGCUGCAUCCCUCCCUUGCCAGAAAAAAAACAGAAGGAAAAAUAAAAGCUUUAAACAGGAAAGAGUCCCCCAGAGGAACAGUUCCCCCAGCCCUGCACUCCUCCACAGUCCAAGCCUUGGCCUCUCCGGGGCAGUGGGGUUCGUCGCAGCUGGAGGAGGAGGUAGGUUUGUGGGAGCCCCUUGUUAAAAUCUUGGCAGUACAUCACUGAAAGCGCUGCUAGAAAUUGCCAAAAGCCGGAAGCUGUUAAUGAGCAGUUGGAGCAGGAAAAAGCAGAGCUGUUUCGAAAUUUGAAAGGACCGUGUAAGCUCUGUCCUCAGCUCUGCCCAGCUGCCUCGUGGGUGGCUCUGAAGAGCGAGCGCCUGGGGACACCAGCAGCAUCUCCUGACUCGCACAAGGACCCACGGUGCAAGGAGCAAGGGAUAGCCAGGGGCCACCUCCAGCUCUCCUGAAUGAUGCUGCAGCAAAGCCUGUGUCCACGCCGCUUCCCUGGCUCCUCUCUUCCCCUCCCUGUGGGCACUUGGAGACAAGCCUGGCUUUGCAUCAGAAAGGUGUGGAAUAGAGGGAAGAACAGGGAGAGGGAGAAGGCAGGAAAUGAGAUUUUCUUCUUGGGCAGCUCCACUAAAACAAGUAGGGAUGGGGAGGGAGGUAGCGUAGAUGCACACAUCCUUAAACAAUGGCUUUGAAGCUGAUGAAGCUUGUGCAGAUGAGUGCAGUUUUUUAUUUUUUUUUUUAUUUUUUUUUUGCUCCCUCUGCCUUUUGAGCCUCUCUGACUCUCCAGCCUUGAGGCAUCCCAUAUCAAUAUGGGUUUCAACUGCUGGUCCAUAAGUAAUUCCAGGCAGGCGUUUGGUUCUCCCUGCCUGAAACACACACCGACUGCAUGCUUGGGCCAGCCAGAUUAGUGCUGAAGUGAUGGAAAUACACUGCACAGAUAUUGGAUAAGGAAGGUGAAGUGGUCAGGCAUGAGCCAUACGUUUCUGUUGAGAUACAGACUCGUGCAAUGCCUAUCCUAUCCAGCUUGCAAGCUAGGGCUUGGUGUGCUUUAGGACACAGCUGCAUGACCUGUUGUUACAGUUUAUUGACUCAGCUAUGAUGACUGACCAUAUAUAUGUGCUAAGCUGUACGCAAUGUAAAAUAUAUCGUGUUCUGGUAGGCUGGUUGAGAAUAUCCAGGUGGAAAAUAUCAGUAGUGGCAAGGUCCUCCUUGCUUUUGGAAAUAUGUGGAACUGUGGCUAUGGGCGGCAUGGGCUUCAUGCAGCAUGAUAUGCAAUAUGCUCUGACAGUGCUGGUGGUCAGAGUGAAUGUCUCUGGUCCCUCUCUGCACAACAUGGGCUGUAAAAACACCUCCUGCCUCCAUCCCGUUUUGGAAAAGCAAUGAAUAUUGGACAAAGGGAAGCAUUUUCUCCCCUCCCCCUCUCCCCUCCUGCCAAAAUAACAGAAAUUCUAAGAAAAGCACCUACUCCAAGAAUAAAUAUAUACAUCUGCAGCUUUAUUCUUCUUCCAAGGGAGCUCUUUCGGGGCUCAGCCAGCACCUUCCCUGCUCUCCUCCUAUUUCCUGGUUGCAGCAUAUACUCCACUGCAGUCUGCAAACUUCCUCAGUGGCAGCAUCUCCAUGGGGAGGAGGAAAUGUCAUUUUGUGGCUCAGGGACACUGGAGCAAGCCUUGCAGUGUCUGUAGGUAGGCAAGCACAAAGGGUACUGCUGGGUGCUUUAAAUUCAUCAGUGCAGCACAAAGGCCAUAUACGAGUACUUAACAGUGCUGCCUCCUAAGAGUAAAUCAGCAAAUGGAUGACAGCAGCUAUCCAUUACAACUAACUCAACUAAUUCCACUGGUGGCUUAAUGCCAGUGGUAUUAACAGUGAAAACCCCACUUCACAGGAAUCUCUCUGGUUCAAACUCCUUAUUAAAUAUAAAAAAAUAAAAACUUGGGCCACCCACUAAAAUGCAGAAAGAGUUUGCAUAGAAUCAAUGGCAUUUUGCGUGCUCCUGUGAACAAUCUGCAGGACAGGUAAGAUUUCCUUAUGAACUCGAGAUGCUUUUUAAUAUUUGAUACAGUUCCUGACAAAUAGCAGCCGAAACACCUGUAUGCCAGAUGUGCACAGCUGUUCGUGUGCUGUUGCUGAUCAAUCUUCAGAUUACAUCAUGUUCCAGAUGCCUGACUUCAGAAAAGCUUGUAAGGCAGAGCUGGAGCAAGCAAACUGCAAGCUUAGGCAUUUCUUUUUCCUGACUGUGGUGCCGUGGCUUCUCUGCACGCGAUGCUGAGCCCUUUUUUAUCACCUUGACCUAUGUGACAUUGUCUCAGAGUGAAUGAGGGGCACCUCCAGCCCGCCAGCUGGGAAGGGGUAUUGUCAUCCUUUAGCCAUGGGUAACAUCUGUGCAUAAGUAAUGUGCUGGGAAGGUGUGCUACGUAUUGCUCAUCCUGUGUUUCUACCACUUGAGACCAAAAAAGACAUCAAUAUCAGUCUCUGAAGAGGUUUAUUUUGGUGUUUCUCCACAGUGUAACACGAGGCACAGCUUCAGUGUCUCCCUACACGUGUCUGUAUGGGGAUGUAUGCAUGUUGCUAUGAAAGUAAAGUCCUUUUGGUUUUCAGUGGAUUUAUUCCUCAUUAAGACAGCACUUGUUCCUGGAAUGCCAGGAAGCAAAACUGUGCCUGCCCUGAGGGGAACAUGGGGAUGACUGCUGCAAAAAGAUGUGCUUUCUUGAGUGUUUCUAUUUCUGUAUUUGAAGUGGGGACUUGGAGUGCAGCAAAAUUUCCCCUUUGCUGCUUGGAGCUGCAUUCACAACUGGCGCUUCAAUCUGAUGCCAGGACAGAUUCCCUGAAGCUGAGGGGAUUUCAUUCUCAGUUUUUAUACUGAGGAUCUUUACAGAGCAUCACAGAAAACACCCAGUGAGAAGGAGCAGGAUCUCCCCAUCUCCUUGCCCAGCAAGAUCCCAGCCACCAUACCUGGGUUUUAUCAGAGCCAGGACUUACAUCCCAGACCACGUUCCCAAAUAUUUGCAGAGGAAAGCGUGCUGCUUUGGCAUCUCCUCCCUUGCAUGAGGCAGUGUUUGAAGAAUGUGCCCUCGCUCACCACACCCUGGUCCCUGAAGUCAGCAGUCACAGUUGCAGUGUUUCCCACUGCAGCAGGUGCAGGUUUUUGAUAACCACCCAGACUCUGAGUAACGGUGGUGAUUCAGUGUGUGUGUUACUAAUCUGCCAGGAUUUUUGGACGGGAUUGUACCAGGCCAGGUCUCCAUCUGGGAUUAAUCAGCGCAGCUUCA
Lagopus muta (rock ptarmigan) is the source of this 5066-nucleotide long non-coding RNA. RefSeq lists it as uncharacterized. NCBI's taxonomy places the organism in Eukaryota, Metazoa, Chordata, Aves, Galliformes, Phasianidae. The record is from RefSeq and is a predicted model, not a curated record. The transcript has 3 exons.